CCUACGGGGGGCAGCAGUGGGGGAUAUUGGACAAUGGGGGAAACCCUGAUCCAGCGAUGCCGCGUGAGGGAAGAAGGUUUUCGGAUUGUAAACCUCUGUGGAGGGGGACGAUAAUGACGGUACCCCUUUAGGAAGCCACGGCUAACUACGUGCCAGCAGCGGCGGUAAUACGGAGGUGGCGAGCGUUUUCCGGAAUUACUGGGGGUAAAGGGAGUGUAGGCGGGAAAGCAAGGUCGAAGUGAAAACUGUGGGAUUAACCCAUAGCCUGCUUUUGAAACUGUUUUUCUUGAGUGAAGUAGAGGCAAGUGGAAUUCCUGGUGUAGCGGUGAAAUGCGUAGAUAUUAGGAGGAACCCCAGUGGCGAAGGCGGCUUGCUGGGCUUUUACUGACGCUGAGGCUCGAAAGCGUGGGGAGCAAACAGGAUUAGAUACCCCUGUAGUC
This 440-nucleotide ribosomal RNA is filed under the name uncultured bacterium. RNAcentral's name for it is "partial 16S ribosomal RNA". It matches the Rfam family "Bacterial small subunit ribosomal RNA", at positions 338 to 795 of the family's 1533-position model. The record is from RNAcentral.